GUGCUCAUUUUGGAAGCACACAUACUAAAAUUGGAAUUAUACAGAGAAGAUUAGCAUGGAUCCUGUGCAAGGAGGACAUGCAAAUUCAUGAAGGGUUCCAUAUUUUU
This is a small nuclear RNA of Pteronotus mesoamericanus, 107 nucleotides long. NCBI's taxonomy places the organism in Eukaryota, Metazoa, Chordata, Mammalia, Chiroptera, Mormoopidae. The record is from RefSeq and is a predicted model, not a curated record.